This 505-nucleotide ribosomal RNA is filed under the name uncultured bacterium. RNAcentral's name for it is "partial 16S ribosomal RNA". It matches the Rfam family "Bacterial small subunit ribosomal RNA", at positions 28 to 507 of the family's 1533-position model. The record is from RNAcentral.
GACGAACGCUGGCGGCGUGCCUAAUACAUGCAAGUAGAACGCACAGUUUAUACCGUAGCUUGCCACACCAUAGACUGUGAGUUGCGAACGGGUGAGUAACGCGUAGGUAACCUGCCUGGUAGCGGGGGAUAACUAUUGGAAACGGUAGCUAAUACCGCAUAAUAUUAAUUAUUGCAUGAUAAUUAAUUGAAAGGUGCAAUUGCACCACUACCAGAUGGACCUGCGUUGUAUUAGCUAGUAGGUGAGGUAACGGCUCACCUAGGCGACGAUACAUAGCCGACCUGAGAGGGUGAUCAGCCACACUGGGACUGAGACACGGCCCAGACUCCUACGGGAGGCAGCAGUAGGGAAUCUUCGGCAAUGGACGAAAGUCUGACCGAGCAACGCCGCGUGAGUGAAGAAGGUUGUCGGAUCGUAAAGCUCUGUUGUAAGAGAAGAACGGGUGUGAGAGUGGAAAGUUCACACUGUGACGGUAUCUUACCAGAAAGGGACGGCUAACUACGUG